GAUGAACGCUGGCGGCGUGCCUAAUACAUGCAAGUCGAGCGAACGGACGAGAAGCUUGCUUCUCUGAUGUUAGCGGCGGACGGGUGAGUAACACGUGGAUAACCUACCUAUAAGACUGGGAUAACUUCGGGAAACCGGAGCUAAUACCAUAUAAUAUUUUGCACCGCAUGGGUCAAAAGUGAAAGACGGUGUUGCUGUCACUUAUAGAUGGAUCCGCGCUGCAUUAUCUGGUUGGUAACGUAACGGCUUACCAAGGCAACGAUGCAUAGCCGACCUGAGGGGGUGAUCGGCCACACUGGAACUGAGACGCGGUCCAGGCUCCUACGGAGGCAGCAGUAGGGAAUCGUACGCAAUGGGCGAAAGCCUGACGGAGCAACGCCGCGUGAGUGAAGAAGGUCCUCGGAUCGUAAAACUCUGUUAUUAGGGAAGAACAUAUGUGUAAGUAACUGUGCACAUCUUGACGGUACCUAAUCAGAAAGCCACGGCUAACUACGUG
RNAcentral lists this ribosomal RNA (496 nucleotides) under uncultured bacterium. RNAcentral describes it as "partial 16S ribosomal RNA". It matches the Rfam family "Bacterial small subunit ribosomal RNA", at positions 28 to 507 of the family's 1533-position model. The record is from RNAcentral.